This is a non-coding RNA of Pelobates cultripes (western spadefoot toad), 1361 nucleotides long. NCBI's taxonomy places the organism in Eukaryota, Metazoa, Chordata, Amphibia, Anura, Pelobatidae. The record is from the annotation of a GenBank genome assembly.
GUUUAUAUUGCAGGGUUAAGACUGCCUCUAUUGGUUGUCUACUAGAAAGCCAAUAGAAGAGUUUCCUGCUGUUUCAUGGUUUCUCUGACAUAAUGCUGGACAUCCUCACGCUGUGAAUAACGACAUUCAGCAUCUUCAAAUCCUGGUAAGAAAGGUGAGUGUCUUAAAGAGUUGUUUAACCCUUUAAUUGCCUAGGGAGUAAGAAGGGGGGGAACAGAGGGGCACUAUAGUGUUUGUUUAAUAUAUCCAAGCCCCAGCUUGUGUACUGCUGAAAAAGUAUGAGCUUAAAUAUUUUUCUUUGUGUUGAUAUUAGGAAGCACCUUUUUAGUAGUAGUUUGUGGACAUGAUUCAGAAUUGCUUUCUCCAAGACAAUGUUUUGACAUCCUGUUUUGCUGGAAUUAUUUCAAUCAAAAAUAAUGGCAAUAACUCUGACGUUUCCUCAAUGCUGCAAUGCAGCAAGGGAAAUUACCAUGAUCCAGUAUAAUCUUUCACUGGGUUAUUUUAUGUUAAUCACAACUUUUACAAUUCUGGAUAUAACUGGAACAAGUAAUAUGCCAAAUUUGACUAAAGGUUGAGAGAGGGAGCCCUCAGCUACUUUAGUCACAAAGGUCCUGGUUGUUCAGAUGGCCCUCCUGAAAAGAGGUUUAUCGCUAGUCACAUAUCUGGACCACUGGAUGAUGAAAGCAUCUUCAAAGAACCAACUGGCGAAGGAGAUCAAUACUGUGCUUUUUUAAAAUUUUAUUCUUCUCUACCUUUCCCCUUACAAUGUUUACAAAUCCAUGACUGGAUUAUCAAUUGGGAUAAAUCUCAACUAAUCUCAGUCACAAAACUCGGAGUCUGAUCUUCCAGAGGAAAAGCAGAACAAUUUAAAAAUUUGAUUUUAAAGGGACACCCCAGAACAACUAUUGCUUAAUGUGAUGGAUCUAGUUGCUGUAAUGUGCCCCUGCAGGCUUUUCCGUGUAAACCAUGCCUUUUCAGAGAAAAGGCAGUGUUUAUAUAGGUGCCUAGUAACACCUCAAGUGGUAGUCACUCAGAUGGCCACUGGAGAAGCUGCACUGGCAUUCAGUGGCUCCACGUUCAGCAGGGAGACACUAAAUGCUCACCAGAGAUGCAUUGAUUCCAUUCAUCUCUGAAUACAUUUGUAUUCCUGACAAUAUAAUGUUUAACCCCUUAGUGACUAGACCGCUUUUCAAUUUUCUUGCUGUUUGGGACCAGGACUGUUUUUACAUAUCUGUGGUGUUUUUUACAUAUCUGUGGUGUUUGUGUUUAACUGUCAUUUCCCUCUUACUCAUUUACUGUACCCACACAUAUAGUUUUUCUCACCAUUAAAUGGUCUUUCUGAAGAUACCAUUAUUUUCAUC